Molecule: ribosomal RNA, 253 nt
Filed under: uncultured bacterium
Lineage: Bacteria
Description: partial 16S ribosomal RNA
Rfam family: Bacterial small subunit ribosomal RNA
Source: RNAcentral
UACAGAGGUGGCAAGCGUUGUUCGGAAUUACUGGGCGUAAAGGGCGCGUAGGCGGCCUUCUAAGUCAGACGUGAAAUCCCCCGGCUUAACCUGGGAACUGCGUCUGAUACUGGGAGGCUUGAGUAUGGGAGAGGGAUGCGGAAUUCCAGGUGUAGCGGUGAAAUGCGUAGAUAUCUGGAGGAACACCGGUGGCGAAGGCGGCAUCCUGGACCGACACUGACACUGAGGAGCGAAAGCCAGGGGAGCAAACGGG